UUCCGGUUGAUCCUGCCGGAGGCUACCGCUAUUGGAGUUCGAUUAAGCCAUGCGAGUCGCGAGUCUUAGGGACUCGGCGUACCGCUCAGUAACACGUGGGUAACCUGCCCUAUGCUGGGGGAUAACCUCGGGAAACUGAGAAUAAUACCCAACAGAUCAUCAAUUCUGGAAUGGUUGAUGAUUCAAAUGAUUUUUCGCCAUAGGAUGGGACUGCGACCUAUCAGCUUGUUGGUGAGGUAAUGGCCCACCAAGGCAAUUACAGGUACGGGCUCUGAGAGGAGAAGCCCGGAGAUGGGUACUGAGACAAGGACCCAGGCCCUAUGGGGCGCAGCAGGCGAGAAAACUUUGCAAUGUGCGAAAGCACGACAAGGUUAAUCCGAGUGAUUUCUGCUAAAGGAAUCUUUUGUUAGUUCUAAAAAUACUAGUGAAUAAGGGGUGGGCAAGUUCUGGUGUCAGCCGCCGCGGUAAAACCAGCACCUCAAGUGGUCAGGAGGAUUAUUGGGCCUAAAGCAUCCGUAGCCUGUUCUAUAAGUUUGCGGUUAAAUCUAUACGCUCAACGUAUAGGCUGCCGUAAAUACUGUAGAACUAGGGAGUGGGAGAGGUAGACGGUACUCGAUAGGAAGGGGUAAAAUCCUUUGAUCUAUUGAUGACCACCUGUGGCGAAGGCGGUCUACCAGAACACGUUCGACGGUGAGGGAUGAAAGCUGGGGGAGCAAACCGGAUUAGAUACCCGGGUAGUCCCAGCUGUAAACGAUGCAGACUCGAUGAUGCAAUGGCAUAGAGCUAUUGCAGUAUCGCAGGGAAGCCGUUAAGUCUGCCGCCUGGGAAGUACGUACGCAAGUAUGAAACUUAAAGGAAUUGGCGGGGGAGCACCACAAGGGGUGAAGCCUGCGGUUCAAUUGGAGUCAACGCCGGG
Molecule: ribosomal RNA, 916 nt
Filed under: uncultured marine archaeon
Lineage: Archaea
Description: bacterial SSU rRNA
Rfam family: Archaeal small subunit ribosomal RNA
Source: RNAcentral